RNAcentral lists this ribosomal RNA (1944 nucleotides) under seawater metagenome. RNAcentral's name for it is "bacterial LSU rRNA". It matches the Rfam family "Bacterial large subunit ribosomal RNA", at positions 1 to 1978 of the family's 2925-position model. The record is from RNAcentral.
GAAAGUAAUUAAGGGCAAACGGCGGAUGCCUUGGCUUGCAGAGGCGAUGAAGGACGUGAUAAGCUGCGAUAAGCUACGGGAAGGUGCACAUAACCUUUGAUCCGUAGAUUUCCGAAUGGGGCAACCCGGCUGGUUGAAGACCAGUCACCGAAAGGAGCAAACCCGGAGAACUGAAACAUCUAAGUACCCGGAGGAAGAGAAAAUAAUUAAUGAUUCCGAUAGUAGCGGCGAGCGAAAUCGGAACAGCCCAAACCAGAAUUGUUUCGGCAAUUCUGGGGUUGUAGGACCACGAUGUGAGAUGUUCCAUAAAGUAGAAUCAACUGGAAAGUUGAACCAUAGAGGGUGAUAGUCCCGUAUACGUACAUGCGAAUUAUUUCUAGUGGUAUCCUGAGUAGGGCGGGACAUGUGAAAUCCUGUCUGAAUCUGUCAGAACCAUCUGAUAAGGCUAAAUACUCCUGCAAGACCGAUAGCGAACUAGUACCGUGAGGGAAAGGUGAAAAGUACCCUGAAUAAGGGAGUGAAAUAGAACCUGAAACCGUUUGCCUACAAGCGGUCGGAGCAUCUUUAAGGUGUGACGGCGUGCCUUUUGUAUAAUGAUCCUACGAGUUACUCGUCACUAGCAAGGUUAAGGACUUCAGGUCCGCAGCCGAAGCGAAAGCAAGUUUGAAUAGAGCGUAUAGUUAGUGGCGGUAGACGCGAAACCGAGUGAUCUACCCAUGGGCAGGUUGAAGCUCUGGUAACACAGAGUGGAGGACCGAACCGGUUGACGUUGAAAAGUCUUCGGAUGACCUGUGGGUAGGGGUGAAAGGCCAAUCAAACUCGGAAAUAGCUCGUUCUCCCCGAAAUGCUUUUAGGAGCAGCGUCGUGUGAAAGAGUAGUAGAGGUAGAGCUACUGGUUGGAUGCGGGGGCUUCAUCGCCUACCAAAUCCUGUCAAACUCCGAAUGCUACUACUUGUUUCACGGCAGUGAGGGCAUGGGUGCUAAGGUCCAUGUCCGAGAGGGAAAGAACCCAGAUCAUCUGCUAAGGUCCCCAAAUGUAUACUAAGUUGAUCAAACGUGGUCAGACUGCUUAGACAGCUAGGAUGUUGGCUUGGAAGCAGCCAUUCAUUUAAAGAGUGCGUAACAGCUCACUAGUCGAGCGGUCAGGCGUGGAUAAUAAUCGGGCAUAAGUAUACUACCGAAGCAAUGGACAUGAAAAUGUGGUAGGGGAGCAUUCUAGUUGCGCCGAAGGUGAAAUGUAAGUUUUGCUGGAGCGGCUAGAAAAGAAAAUGUAGGAAUGAGUAACGAUAAUGCGGGUGAGAAACCCGCACGCCGAAAAUCUAAGGUUUCCUCAGCUAUGCUAAUCAGCUGAGGGUUAGUCGCGACCUAAGGCGAACCCGAACGGGGUAGUCGAUGGACAACAGGUUAAUAUUCCUGUACUGGUUUAUACUGCGAUGGGGUGACGAUGUACUGAAAGCACCGCGGACUGACGGAAUAGUCCGUUGAAAACUGUAUCUAUAGGACCUGUAGGCAAAUCCGCAGGACCUGGAGAAGGUUGAUAGUACCAAGAGUCUUCGGACAAUUGGAUAGUGUGCCUAAAAACAUCCAAGAAAAACCUCUAAGCUUCAGGUAUAAACAACGCGUACCGUAAACCGACACAGGUAGAUGGGAUGAGAAUUCUAAGGCGCUCGAGUGAUUCAUGGCUAAGGAACUAGGCAAAAUCGUCUUGUAACUUCGGGAGAAAAGACGCCUGCUUCGGCAGGCCGCAGUGAAAAGGCCCAGGCGACUGUUUAUCAAAAACACAGGACUCUGCUAAAUCGAAAGAUGAUGUAUAGGGUCUGACACCUGCCCGGUGCUGGAAGGUUAAGAGGAGAUGUUAGCUUCGGCGAAGCAUUGAAUUGAAGCCCCAGUAAACGGCGGCCGUAACUAUAACGGUCCUAAGGUAGCGAAAUUCCUUGUCGGGUA